Molecule: non-coding RNA, 940 nt
Organism: Schizosaccharomyces pombe (fission yeast)
Lineage: Eukaryota; Fungi; Ascomycota; Schizosaccharomycetes; Schizosaccharomycetales; Schizosaccharomycetaceae
Source: the annotation of a GenBank genome assembly
AGUACGAAUUGAAAUGCCGUAGCGGGGACGUUGCGUCCACACAUGCCUUUGAAGGAAUGCCACAAAUCCCGAUAAUUAUGUAUCAUGGAUUGAAAUAUUUGAGACACAGAGGUUUUUGAUAUUUGUGCUCUUUGACGAACGACUUCUGCAGGAGCUAGAAUGCCACAAGAAACAACUUCGGCUACCGAAGCAGAGACCAGAUGAUUUCGGACUCCAGGUUUUUGUCGCGCCUUCGCAUAUUCGUACACAAAAAAGAAGGAAGAUGCUAUAACAAAAAGUUAGUAGAAUAUUAUGGAAAGCUCUGCUGUAAAUUGAGGAAUAUAAAACUUUUUAGUUAAAUAAAAAAACUCCCCCAAACAGCUGCUUUUGUCUUACCAGAAGGAAGUGUGCUAACUAAUACACUACUUAAGCCACGAUAAAGGUGUUGAAAACCUCCAGCUUGCUGAAAAGAUAGUGAAGACUGAACACGAGUAAUUAUUGUAGAAAGAGGAAAAACCUAAAAAAGAUAACGAUGUAAGUAGCUGGAUUGAUUUUUAAUUUUUAAAAACUGUAGGAUUAUAUACCAAUGUUUCUGAAUUACAUAGAGUUAAUAAAAUGAGUCUUUAUGAAAUACUAAAAAUUGCAUACCUGCAACUAAUCCGGAAAGACCACCAACCUUUACAGAUGUUAGUUAAAAGAAAGGAAUGAAACUCAAUUGUGUUCGAGUUCAAAAUUGCUUACUAAGAUAGGCUUCCAUUGAACCUCGUCAUCAGUCAUAUCGUUUCUGUUUUUGUGGUUUUGAAAAAAGAGCAGUGGAAUAGGAGGUCGAACCUAUGUGGAGAUGCACUAUAUUGAUUAUUAUGAAACCUGAAUGCUUUCUUGUUUAUUUCUCAGAUAUGUCAAUGUGAAUAACGACUUUUGGUGCAAAUAUUACAUUUUGUGAAAAACUAGUUUUUGAAAA